This 235-nucleotide ribosomal RNA is filed under the name uncultured bacterium. RNAcentral describes it as "partial 16S ribosomal RNA". It matches the Rfam family "Bacterial small subunit ribosomal RNA", at positions 1146 to 1382 of the family's 1533-position model. The record is from RNAcentral.
AGACUGCCUCGGACAACGGGAGGAAGGUGGGGAUGACGUCAAGUCCGCAUGCUCCUUACGUCUAGGGCUACACACGUCCUACAAUGGGGUCGACAAUGGGAAGCAAUACCGCGAGGUGGAGCCAAUCCCCAAACGACCCCUCAGUUCGGAUUGCAGUCUGCAACUCGACUACAUGAAGUCGGAAUCGCUAGUAAUGGCAGGUCAGCAUACUGCCGUGAAUACGUUCCCGGGUCUU